RNAcentral lists this ribosomal RNA (484 nucleotides) under uncultured bacterium. RNAcentral describes it as "partial 16S ribosomal RNA". It matches the Rfam family "Bacterial small subunit ribosomal RNA", at positions 30 to 507 of the family's 1533-position model. The record is from RNAcentral.
AUUGAACGCUGGCGGCAGGCCUAACACAUGCAAGUCGAGCGGAUGAAGGGAGCUUGCUCCUGGAUUCAGCGGCGGACGGGUGAGUAAUGCCUAGGAAUCUGCCUGGUAGUGGGGGAUAACGUCCGGACACGGGCGCUAAUACCGCAUACGUCCUGAGGGAGAAAGUGGGGGAUCUUCGGACCUCACGCUAUCAGAUGAGCCUAGGUCGGAUUAGCUAGUUGGUGGGGUAAAGGCCUACCAAGGCGACGAUCCGUAACUGGUCUGAGAGGAUGAUCAGUCACACUGGAACUGAGACACGGUCCAGACUCCUACGGGAGGCAGCAGUGGGGAAUAUUGGACAAUGGGCGAAAGCCUGAUCCAGCCAUGCCGCGUGUGUGAAGAAGGUCUUCGGAUUGUAAAGCACUUUAAGUUGGGAGGAAGGGCAGUAAGUUAAUACCUUGCUGUUUUGACGUUACCAAAAGAAUAAGCACCGGCUAACUUCGUG